GUGCCAGCAGCCGCGGUAAGACGAACCACACGAACGUUAUUCGGAAUUACUGGGCUUAAAGGGUGCGUAGGCGGCGCGGUAAGUAGGGUGUGAAAUCCCUCGGCUCAACCGAGGAACUGCGCUCUAAACUACCGUGCUCGAGGGAGGUAGAGGUGAGCGGAACUUAGGGUGGAGCGGUGAAAUGCGUUGAUAUCCUAAGGAACACCGGUGGCGAAAGCGGCUCACUGGAUCUCUUCUGACGCUGAUGCACGAAAGCUAGGGUAGCGAACGGGAUUAGAAACCCUCGUAGUCC
This 292-nucleotide ribosomal RNA is filed under the name uncultured bacterium. RNAcentral's name for it is "partial 16S ribosomal RNA". It matches the Rfam family "Bacterial small subunit ribosomal RNA", at positions 505 to 796 of the family's 1533-position model. The record is from RNAcentral.